Molecule: non-coding RNA, 366 nt
Organism: Chionomys nivalis (European snow vole)
Lineage: Eukaryota; Metazoa; Chordata; Mammalia; Rodentia; Cricetidae
Source: the annotation of a RefSeq genome assembly
AUGGCUGUCCUGGUGCUGCUCCUCUCCCUGGUGACAUUUCCAAGUGCCCUGUCCCAGAUACAGCUAAAGGAGUCAGGGCCUGGCCUAGUGCAGCCCUCACAGACCCUGUCGCUCACCUGCACUGUCUCUGGAUUCUCAUUAACGAACAAUCAUGUACACUGGGUCCGCCAGCCUCCAGGAAAGGGUCUGGAGUGGAUGGGAAUAAUAUAUAGUGGUGGAAGCACAGAUUAUAAUUCAGCUCUCCAGUCCCGAAUCACCAUCACCAGGGACACCUCCAAGAGCCAAGUUUUCUUAAAACUGAACAGUCUGCAAACUGAGGACACAGCCAUGUAUUACUGUGCCAGAGACACAGUGAGAGAACUCUAG